This is a non-coding RNA of Trichonephila clavipes, 80 nucleotides long. Lineage: Eukaryota; Metazoa; Arthropoda; Arachnida; Araneae; Nephilidae. The record is from the annotation of a GenBank genome assembly.
CCGUCGAUAGCUCAGUUGGCAGAGCGGUGGACUGUAGAUCCAUGGCAGAGCGGUCGCUGGUUCGACUCCGGCUCGGCGGA